This 375-nucleotide long non-coding RNA is filed under the name Glycine max (soybean). RNAcentral's name for it is "long non-coding RNA (GMAX_LNC000138)". The record is from RNAcentral. Lineage: Eukaryota; Viridiplantae; Streptophyta; Magnoliopsida; Fabales; Fabaceae.
AGGGUUCCCGUACCCCCCGGCAAGGUCAUGCCAUCGCGACAUAGGUAAGUAUGCAUAUGGUUCAAACUGAUUUCUGAUGUCAUCUAUUGUUUGCAGGGAUCACGCCCGCAAGACACCCAGUGGACCCAGAGAAGUCCAACAGGGUCUUAGGGUUUCCAGCUCUGAUUACGGGCCUCUGUCAGUUCUACAGCUCGUCGCCCCCAACAAGGCCAUCAGGCCCCUAUUAACAGGGCUUUCAUCGAGAAGUACUGCGCCCCCAGGUAGGCGCAGGGCAAGGCAUCACGGCAGCGGGCAACAGACGCACCGCCACCACCUCUGGAGUUCACCUCAGCUCAUCCACAAAAAGGUUAGAGCGUUGCCUGCGACACAUGGCCG